UCCUUUUUGGCCUUUAACCUUCCUCCAUGUAAGAACACAGUGAACAAGGUGCCAUCCUGGAAACAAACAGCAGCCUUCACCAGACACCAGACCUUCUGGCACCUUGACCUUACACUUUCCAGCCUCCAGAACCGACUAGAACUAUUGUCACUGAGGGCAGGUGAAAGUUCAGCCAACUCGGAACCCGGAGGCCCCACCUUACCUCCCUUUGUGAAGAGCCCAGAGCCUUUGUCCAAAGCUGCAUCACUUCCCACCCAGCCCUUCCUGAGCCAACUCCCCGAUGUCUCCAGAAGAACACAGUCGGCAUCAUCGUGAUAACAUCAGGGAAACUCCUAUUUCCAGCAGUUUCUCCUUCAGCUGCAAAAAUGUGCAGUGGUAGACAGGGCGUGGGUUUUUGAAGUCUCUGUAGGAAGCAGAGUUGUUUUCUCAGCACCACAUCUGAACGCAUCUUCUAAGGGUGGCCGACUGUGUGGGAGCUGCAGGAGCUCAGCCGGGGUGCAGCCUUCCCAUUCCCCACCCUGUCCACCACCACCACGCCUGGACCCGACAGGGAGGGCAGGACCCCACACCACGUGGUAACUGUUAAGGAAAAGGGAGCC
RNAcentral lists this long non-coding RNA (599 nucleotides) under Pongo abelii (Sumatran orangutan). RNAcentral's name for it is "lincRNA". Lineage: Eukaryota; Metazoa; Chordata; Mammalia; Primates; Hominidae. The record is from RNAcentral.